RNAcentral lists this long non-coding RNA (337 nucleotides) under Gossypium raimondii (Peruvian cotton). Its description in RNAcentral is "long non-coding RNA (GRAI_LNC010556)". The record is from RNAcentral. Lineage: Eukaryota; Viridiplantae; Streptophyta; Magnoliopsida; Malvales; Malvaceae.
CCUAAGGAUAUUUUAAAAGGAUUAACCUUAAUUCUAAAAAUAGAAUUUUGUGGUUAUUAUGAUAAAAAGGAUCAAGAUAGCCAAUCUAGUUAUAUCCUUUCUAAGAUUAAAUUAUGUGAUAUUAGAUAUUUAGAAGAUUUUUCUAAAAAAUUUCUUCAUGAAUAUCAAAAGUUAAAAAAUAAAAAUAUAGACUUUUGGAAAAACCAAUAUUUUCAUAAACUACCCCCACCCUGGGAUGAGAUAUGUAUAAACAAAUAUGUGUCUUAUUUAGAGAAGCACAGUAAAACAUCUGGACUUCUAGCAGAAAAUUUAGAUACUAUAGGUAAAAGGAUAAACU